RNAcentral lists this ribosomal RNA (429 nucleotides) under Chloroflexota bacterium. RNAcentral describes it as "Chloroflexi bacterium partial 16S ribosomal RNA". It matches the Rfam family "Bacterial small subunit ribosomal RNA", at positions 355 to 776 of the family's 1533-position model. Lineage: Bacteria; Bacillati; Chloroflexota. The record is from RNAcentral.
UAGGGAAUUUUCGGCAAUGGACGAAAGUCCGACCGAGCAACGCCGCGUGAGUGAAGAAGGUUUUCGGAUCGUAAAACUCUGUUGUUAGAGAAGAACAAGGACGUUAGUAACUGAACGUCCCCUGACGGUAUCUAACCAGAAAGCCACGGCUAACUACGUGCCAGCAGCCGCGGUAAUAUGUAGGUGGCAAGCGUUGUCCGGAUUUAUUGGGGGUAAAGCGAGCGCAGGGGGUUUUUUAGGUCUGAUGUGAAAGCCCCCGGCUCAAACGGGGAGGGUCAUUGGAAACUGGGAGACGUGAGGGGGGAAGGGGAGGGUGGAAUUCCGGGUGUGGCGGUGAAAUGCGUAGGUAUGUGGGGGAACACCAGUGGGGAAGGCGGCACCCUGGACGAAGGCGGACGCGCAGGUGGGAAGGCGGGGGGGGAAAAAAGG